Helianthus annuus (common sunflower) is the source of this 2133-nucleotide RNA transcript. It is a transcript of the gene named transcription initiation factor TFIID subunit 15b-like, with no coding region annotated. The transcript has 7 exons. NCBI's taxonomy places the organism in Eukaryota, Viridiplantae, Streptophyta, Magnoliopsida, Asterales, Asteraceae. The record is from RefSeq and is a predicted model, not a curated record.
CAGCAUAUAAAUAUGCUUAAAAAUUCCCCUUCCACUUUCACUCUAUCUUAAACACCUAAAACGAAACCCUAACAGCAACAACGAUGUCUGGUUACGGUCACGAAGGAGAUGGAUCUGCUCCACCGCCCUCUUAUGGCGGUACCGGCGGUGGCUACGGUGGCGGAGGAGGAGGUUACGGAGGCAGCGGCGGCGGUGGAGGAGGCGGUUACGGAGGCAGCGGUGGUGGAUCUUACGGUGGAAAUCGUGGAGGAGGCGGUGGAUAUGGCGGUGGUGGCCGCGGAGGUGGUGGAGGUGGAGGUGGAGGUUAUGGUGGUCGAGGUGGUGGUGGUGGAGGAUAUGGUGGUAAUUCGCAAAAUCGAGGUGGAGGUGGUUAUCAAGGCGGCGGCGGCGGUGGUGGUGGUAGAGGCGGCGGCGGUGGUAGAGGAGGAGGUGGUGGUGCUAGAGGUGGUAGAGAAGGAGACUGGCCUUGCCCUAAUCCAGGCUGUGGCAACUCGAAUUUUUCUUGGAGAACCGAAUGCAACAAAUGUGGCACCCCUUCUCCUGCUGGCUCUGGCAGUGGCGGUGGCGGUGGCAGUGAUCGUGGCCGCAGUGAUGGUGGCGGUUACAAUAGAGGUGGGGGUGGACGCAGUGAUGGUGGUAAUUACAAUAGGAGCAGUGGAGGAGGAGGUGGAGGCGGAUAUGGUGGUGAUAGAGGAGCUAGGGGUAGCUAUGAUGGUGGAAGCGGUGGAGGAAGUAGAGGAAGUGGCGGUUCUUAUGGCGGCAGCCAAGGACGAGACAGUGGCGGAUACGGUCAGGGCGCUGCAGUCGGGUAUGGCGGAUCUGAUAACACUAAUAACAGUUACCCUCAACCACCCAACUCAUAUGGGUCUAACAACGCUUACGGAACCGAUGCUGUUCCUCCACCUGCAAGCUACAAUGGCGGACCAACAUCAUAUCCACCAUCCUAUGGCGGCACUGGUGUUGGUGGUGGUGGUGGUUAUGCUGGUGAUUCUUUGCCCGAUAAUCGUGGCGGUCGGAGUGGCUCAGCAGGUGGGUAUGCUGGUAGUCAACAGAAUCAAGGCAGUUAUGGUGCUCCUCCUGAAGAAGCACCUGGAAAGGUUAAACAAUGCGAUGAAAACUGUGACGAAACGUGUGACAAUGCACGGAUCUACAUUUCUAACUUGCCUCCAGAUGUCACCGUUGAUGAGUUACGAGAGCUGUUCGGAGGCAUUGGACAGGUUGGGAGAAUUAAGCAGAAGCGAGGUUAUAAGGACCAGUGGCCCUAUAACAUUAAGAUUUAUACCGAUGAACAAGGAAAGAACAAAGGGGAUGCUGCUUUGGUUUACGAGGAUCCUUCUGCAGCACAUUCUGCUGGCGGAUUUUACAACAAUUAUGAGCUGAGAGGUCACAAAAUUAGUGUCGGAAUGGCUGAGAAAUCUGCUCCAAGGGCCCCUUCUGCUUAUGGUCAAGGUGGUGGCGGUGGUGGAAGAGGUGGCGGCGGCUACGGUGGCGGCGGUGAUAGACGUAGAGACAACAACAGAGAUGGUGGGCCAGAUAGGAAUUAUCAUGGAGGAAACCGCUCUCGUCCAUACUGAUGAACAAACAAAACUGAGGGCAGUUAAAUUAGAGUAAAACUGUGAACGAAAAGAGAGAAAGCUUUAUUGUUUGCAAGGAGAUUAAGAGGUAGGUUAAACCCACUUGCCCCUUUUCUCCUUCUUUUUAUCUUUAUCUUUAUCUUAUCUUUGGAACAUGUUGAGUUGAUCUGAAUUGUGUGAAAUGUUUUUAUAGAGGCCAGUGCGUGCCAAGUGGAUGAUAUUUGUACUCCAAAUGCUUCUUUUAAGGUAGGUUGAGAUUUUCAGUCAUGUGGUGAAGCAGGGAGGAAAAGGAGCAAUGAUGAUUGUUGAAUGGCAGGACUAACAUGCCCUAAUGGCUUCCUCCUUUUUGACCUUAUGUUGACCACUUAAACCCAAGAAAUGUACACCUUUGUAUGAUUAAUCAGAAUAUGGGAUUAACAAACAUGACAUCCUCCGUUUAUCAAGGAUUCAUUUGUUAUCUGUUAAGGAAAGAAUUAGGGUUUUAGGUUGGCAAACAGGUUUUGUGUUGACUAGUACAACUCAUUUAAUAAACAUAACGCUUUUGGGUUGUCUUGACAAA